Molecule: long non-coding RNA, 565 nt
Organism: Oncorhynchus keta (chum salmon)
Lineage: Eukaryota; Metazoa; Chordata; Actinopteri; Salmoniformes; Salmonidae
Exons: 4
Source: RefSeq, a predicted model, not a curated record
GGUUAGACACUGAUCUGGGAGCAGCAGGUUAGACACUGAUCUGGGAACAGCAGGUUAGACACUGAUCUGGGAACAGCAGGUUAGACACUGAUCUGGGAGCAGCAGGUUAGACACUGAUCUGGGAGCAGCAGGUUAGACACUGAUCUGGGAGCAGCAGGUUAGACACUGAUCUGAGAGCAGCAGGUUAGACACUGAUCUGGGAGCAGCAGGUUAGACACUGAUCUGGGAGCAGCAGGUUAGACACUGAUCUGGGAGCAGCAGGUUAGACACUGAUCUGGGAGCAGCAGGUUAGACACUGAUCUGGGAGCAGCAGGUUAGACACUGAUCUGGGAGCAGCAGGUUAGACACUGAUCUGGGAGCAGCAGACACUGAUCUGGGAGCAGCAGGUUAGACACUGAUCUGGGAGCAGCAGGUUAGACACUGAUCUGGGAGGAGCAGGUUAGCGUUUGGUGCCAGUGGUUAGUUUGCUGAAGUGUAGUGUAUAUCUGCUGCUCGGGGUCACUGUCCCCCUUUAACACCAAGCAUGAGGCCUAAAGGCAGCGAUGGACUGGGUAACGAACUACUG